RNAcentral lists this long non-coding RNA (539 nucleotides) under Rattus norvegicus (Norway rat). Its description in RNAcentral is "long non-coding RNA NONRATT001555". The record is from RNAcentral. Lineage: Eukaryota; Metazoa; Chordata; Mammalia; Rodentia; Muridae.
CAGGCACCUGACCACCGCCAGCCACCCUUCAGGCUGCUGCUCACCACAUGCUCUGUUUGGCAGGCUGCACCUACACAGGCAGAAUCUUCUACAACAAUGAAACCUUCCCGUCAGUGCUUGACCCCUGUCUGAGCUGCAUCUGCCUGGUACGCACCACCCAACCCGACCCCAAUCCCCAGCAUCAGCUCCUGAACUCUGGAGAAGGGUCACCCCUGGUCCUGAUGGAAACCACCUCCCUGCCGUCCGUCUAGCAGGAUUCUUUAGCCAGGAUCAGGGAGUCACUGGAAAACGCCAGCUAGUUCAGUAGCUCUGCUUCAGGGUUACUGAACUCAGUGCAUCUCACCAUGUCUCUUGAGAGAAGUAGCCAGCGGAGACCAAGUCAUUUCUCCUCACUUCAUGGCUAGUGAGCCUUAGUGUACAUACUCCUGGGUCCACACUUGCACCCCAGAGCCAACCCACUGCUCAGUCUAAAAAGAGUGUUAGGUUAGUACAUAUUGAAUUUUCAUAUUUGGAAAAUAAAGGACAGAGUGGCACUGCUU